CUCAAAGGAAUUGACGGGGACCCGCACAAGUAGCGGAGCAUGUGGUUUAAUUCGAAGCAACGCGAAGAACCUUACCUAAGCUUGACAUCCCAAUGAUAUCUCCUUAAUCGGAGAGUUCCCUUCGGGGCCAUUGGUGACAGGUGGUGCAUGGUUGUCGUCAGCUCGUGUCGUGAGAUGUUGGGUUAAGUCCCGCAACGAGCGCAACCCUUGUCUUUAGUUGCCAU
This 224-nucleotide ribosomal RNA is filed under the name Clostridioides difficile. Its description in RNAcentral is "partial 16S ribosomal RNA". It matches the Rfam family "Bacterial small subunit ribosomal RNA", at positions 900 to 1121 of the family's 1533-position model. The record is from RNAcentral. Lineage: Bacteria; Bacillati; Bacillota; Clostridia; Peptostreptococcales; Peptostreptococcaceae.